Molecule: ribosomal RNA, 253 nt
Filed under: uncultured bacterium
Lineage: Bacteria
Description: partial 16S ribosomal RNA
Rfam family: Bacterial small subunit ribosomal RNA
Source: RNAcentral
UACAGAGGUGGCAAGCGUUGUUCGGAAUUACUGGGCGUAAAGCGUGCGCAGGCGGUUUUGUAAGACCGAUGUGAAAUCCCCGGGCUUAACCUGGGAACUGCAUUGGUGACUGCAAGGCUUGAGUGUGUCAGAGGGAGGUGGAAUUCCGCGUGUAGCAGUGAAAUGCGUAGAUAUGCGGAGGAACACCGAUGGCGAAGGCAGCCUCCUGGGAUAACACUGACGCUCAUGCACGAAAGCGUGGGGAGCAAACAGG